Molecule: ribosomal RNA, 92 nt
Filed under: Propithecus coquereli (Coquerel's sifaka)
Lineage: Eukaryota; Metazoa; Chordata; Mammalia; Primates; Indriidae
Source: RNAcentral
AUCUACGGCCGUACCACCCUGAACGCCCCGGAUGUCAUCUGAUCUCGGAAGCUAAGCGGGAUCAGGCCUGGUUAGUAUUUGGAUGGGAGAUA